RNAcentral lists this ribosomal RNA (346 nucleotides) under Rhipicephalus appendiculatus. Its description in RNAcentral is "partial 12S ribosomal RNA". Lineage: Eukaryota; Metazoa; Arthropoda; Arachnida; Ixodida; Ixodidae. The record is from RNAcentral.
UUAUUUAAGAGCUAAAUAUUGUAAGUAUAUAAUAAUUACGAAAGCAAAAAAUUAUGGCGGUAUUUUAAGCUUUUCAGAGGAAUUUGCUCUUUAAUGGAUAAAACACCUAAAUCUUACUUAAAUUUGUUAAAUCAACUUGUAUACCACUAUUAAAACAAUUAUUAACUCUAAUUGUUAAUAUUUAAAACAUAAAUUAAUUUAAAUUAAGUCAAGGUGCAGUAAAAAUUUAAGAAUGAAGUGAAUUACAUUACUUUUAAGGGAAAUAAAAUUAAAUAAAGUUUAGGAUUUGAAAGUAAAAUUAAAAUAGAAUGUUAGUUUGAAUUAAGCUCUAAAAUAUGUACAUAUC